CCUGACUGCUAUCGGAUUGAUACUAAGCCAUGUGAGUCAUUGUAGCAAUACAAGGCAGACGGCUCAGUAACACGUAGCCAACCUACCCUAUGGACGGGGAUAACCUCGGGAAACUGAGGAUAAACCCCGAUAGAUCAUUAUACCUGGAACGGUUUAUGGUCCAAAUGAUUCGUCGCCGUAGGAUGGGACUGCGGCCUAUCAGCUUGUUGGUGAGGUAAUGGCCCACCAAGGCUAUUACAGGUACGGGCUCUGAGAGGAGAAGCCCGGAGAUGGGUACUGAGACACGGACCCAGGCCCUAUGGGGCGCAGCAGGCGAGAAAACUUUGCAAUGUGCGCAAGCACGACAAGGUUAAUCCGAGUGUUUCCUGCUAAAGGAAUCUUUUGCUAGUCCUAAAAACACUAGCGAAUAAGGGGUGGGCAAGUUCUGGUGUCAGCCGCCGCGGUAAAACCAGCACCUCAAGUGGUCAGGAGGAUUAUUGGGCCUAAAGCAUCCGUAGCCUGCUCUGUAAGUUUCCGGUUAAAUCCAUUAGCUUAACUGAUGGGCCGCCGGAAAAACUGCAAAGCUAGGGAGUGGGAGAGGUAGACGGUACUCGGUAGGAAGGGGUAAAAUCCUUUGAUCUAUCGAUGACCACCUGUGGCGAAGGCGGUCUACCAGAACACGUUCGACGGUGAGGGAUGAAAGCUGGGGGAGCAAACCGGAUUAGAUACCCGGGUAGUCCCAGCUGUAAACGAUGCAGACUCGGUGAUGCACUGGCUUGUGGCCAGUGCAGUGCCGCAGGGAAGCCGUUAAGUUUGCCGCCUGGGAAGUACGUACGCAAGUAUGAAACUUAAAGGAAUUGGCGGGGGAGCACCACAAGGGGUGAAGCCUGCGGUUC
RNAcentral lists this ribosomal RNA (875 nucleotides) under uncultured archaeon. RNAcentral's name for it is "bacterial SSU rRNA". It matches the Rfam family "Archaeal small subunit ribosomal RNA", at positions 21 to 903 of the family's 1478-position model. The record is from RNAcentral.